Molecule: long non-coding RNA, 372 nt
Filed under: Prunus persica (peach)
Lineage: Eukaryota; Viridiplantae; Streptophyta; Magnoliopsida; Rosales; Rosaceae
Description: long non-coding RNA (PPER_LNC005886)
Source: RNAcentral
UCAGAUCUUGAGCUCACAGAGAAAGAAAUUGAACGCAUGGUGAUGGAAGCUUCGAGGGCUGAGUAUCAUGCAGAUGACACAUUCAAGCAACAACUUGGAAGGAGAGAAUCUUCCACUUCUAGCGCUGAGCCAUCAUCUUCUGGAGCUAGUGAGUUAUCUUAACUGGGUAGAUGAACUUGUUAAGUUUUUAGUAGUAGAGGAUCAUUUUACAUGGGAUUAAACUGCGUUUUUGUAGGAUAUAGUUUUGGCUGCUCUUUGUUGUGUGUUUGUCAAAUGACUUGAUUGAUUCUAUGCAACCUGUGAGUAACAGGAUCAUCAGGAAGUGAGACUAAGCUAGGAGUGAGGGGCCAUGGUUUUCAAGAUUCCCCUCUU